Molecule: ribosomal RNA, 252 nt
Filed under: uncultured bacterium
Lineage: Bacteria
Description: partial 16S ribosomal RNA
Rfam family: Bacterial small subunit ribosomal RNA
Source: RNAcentral
CGUGAGAUGUUGGGUUAAGUCCCGCAACGAGCGCAACCCCUAUCAACAGUUGCCAUCAUUAAGUUGGGAACUCUGUUGAGACUGCCGUUGAUAAAACGGAGGAAGGUGGGGAUGAUGUCAAGUCAUCAUGGCCUUUAUGUUCAGGGCUACACACGUGCUACAAUGGACGGUACAAAACGUCGCGAUCCUGCAAGGGGGAGCUAAUCGCAAAAACCGUUCUCAGUUCGGAUUGAAGUCUGCAACUCGACUUCA